Molecule: long non-coding RNA, 430 nt
Organism: Cynoglossus semilaevis (tongue sole)
Lineage: Eukaryota; Metazoa; Chordata; Actinopteri; Pleuronectiformes; Cynoglossidae
Exons: 3
Source: RefSeq, a predicted model, not a curated record
ACCUAUCAGAGGUAAAGUGUUUUUCUAAAGCUUUCUACUAUCUGUGUGUGUUAUUUUUGACAGUGCUGCUCAUCAGAUGUUUACAUAUGAAGGAGUGAACAAUGACAGAUUUGUGCCCUAUGGAUGCAGUUGACUGCUUUAGCCUGAUUCACAUCUUGAAUAUUUGCUGUCAGUCCCUCAGGUGUGUCAAUAACAAGCUAAUCUUGUUAUCUACUCAAAUGUUGUCUUCCUGUGCUGAACAGACCACGUCACCUCACAGCUGCUGCCACUGACAAAAAUGGUAAAAAAAAAAAACUCCACACACCUUGUGCUAAAGUCCAGACAGCACACAGCUACAAAAUCUAGACACGUUUACCUCAAAAAGGGAAACCAACUCAUUGUCUGGAGCUGCCUCAACACCAGAUUUUGGACAUGGGGGACAUUGAGAAGG